CCCGGGCCUUGUACACACCGCCCGUCACACCAUGGGAGUUGGUUUUACCCGAAGCCGGUGCGCGAACCGCAAGGACGUCAGCCGACCACGGUAAGGUCAGCGACUGGGGUGAAGUCGUAAACAAGGUACC
Molecule: ribosomal RNA, 130 nt
Filed under: uncultured bacterium
Lineage: Bacteria
Description: partial 16S ribosomal RNA
Rfam family: Bacterial small subunit ribosomal RNA
Source: RNAcentral